UAGUUCCUUAACACUGGCCAUCACACACAAGGAGUGACCAAUCACUGACCAUCACACAAGAAGAAUGACCAAUCACUGACCAUCUCACAGAAGGAAUGACCAAUCACUGACCAUCACACACAAGGAAUGACCAAUCACUGACCAUAACA
Long non-coding RNA from Saccostrea echinata, 149 nucleotides. RefSeq lists it as uncharacterized. The transcript is spliced from 2 exons. The record is from RefSeq and is a predicted model, not a curated record. NCBI's taxonomy places the organism in Eukaryota, Metazoa, Mollusca, Bivalvia, Ostreida, Ostreidae.